This 253-nucleotide ribosomal RNA is filed under the name uncultured bacterium. RNAcentral's name for it is "partial 16S ribosomal RNA". It matches the Rfam family "Bacterial small subunit ribosomal RNA", at positions 524 to 776 of the family's 1533-position model. The record is from RNAcentral.
UACGGAGGGUGCAAGCGUUGCUCGGAAUUAUUGGGCGUAAAGGGCGCGUAGGCGGCCUGGCAAGUGGAAGGUGAAAUCCCUCGGCUUAACCGAGGAACUGCCUCCCAAACUGCUUGGCUUGAGACCAGGAGAGGUGAGUGGAAUUCCCAGUGUAGCGGUGAAAUGCGUAGAUAUUGGGAGGAACACCAGUGGCGAAGGCGGCUCACUGGACUGGUACUGACGCUGAGGCGCGAAAGCGUGGGGAGCAAACGGG